This 86-nucleotide non-coding RNA is filed under the name bovine gut metagenome. Its description in RNAcentral is "Glycine riboswitch". The stretch from base 5 to 81 matches the Rfam family "Glycine riboswitch aptamer", at positions 9 to 86 of the family's 94-position model. From Rfam's summary of the family: This family represents the bacterial glycine riboswitch. The record is from RNAcentral.
GUGACUCUGGAGAAUCCCGUUUCCGCGGGUGCCGAAGGUGCAAAGCGCGCAAGCGCCAAUCUCUCAGGCAAAAGGACAGAGGAAAA